UGAGGAAUAUUGGUCAAUGGGCGGGAGCCUGAACCAGCCAAGCCGCGUGAAGGAAGAAGGCGCUAAGCGUCGUAAACAUCUUUUGUCGGGGAACAAAGGUCCGGACGUGUCCGGAUGAGAGUGUACCCGAAGAAAAAGCAUCGGCUAACUCCGUGCCAGCAGCCGCGGUAAUACGGAGGAUGCGAGCGUUAUCCGGAUUUAUUGGGUUUAAAGGGUGCGUAGGCGGUCUGUUAAGUCAGCGGUAAAAGCCCGGGGCUCAACCCGGCGAGCGUUGAAACUGGCGGACUAGAGAGGGCGAGAAGUACGCGGAAUGCGCAGUGUAGCGGUGAAAUGCAUAGAUAUUGCGCAGAACUCCGAUUGCGAAGGCAGCGUACCGGCGCCUUUCUGACGCUGAGGCACGAAAGCGUGGGUAUCGAACAGGAUUAGAUACC
Molecule: ribosomal RNA, 431 nt
Filed under: uncultured bacterium
Lineage: Bacteria
Description: bacterial SSU rRNA
Rfam family: Bacterial small subunit ribosomal RNA
Source: RNAcentral